RNAcentral lists this ribosomal RNA (475 nucleotides) under Fusarium sp. WSR 56. RNAcentral's name for it is "partial 18S ribosomal RNA". The stretch from base 120 to 273 matches the Rfam family "5.8S ribosomal RNA". Lineage: Eukaryota; Fungi; Ascomycota; Sordariomycetes; Hypocreales; Nectriaceae. The record is from RNAcentral.
UACCUAUAACGUUGCCUCGGCGGGAACAGACGGCCCCGUAACACGGGCCGCCCCCGCCAGAGGACCCCCUAACUCUGUUUCUAUAAUGUUUCUUCUGAGUAAACAAGCAAAUAAAUUAAAACUUUCAACAACGGAUCUCUUGGCUCUGGCAUCGAUGAAGAACGCAGCGAAAUGCGAUAAGUAAUGUGAAUUGCAGAAUUCAGUGAAUCAUCGAAUCUUUGAACGCACAUUGCGCCCGCCAGUAUUCUGGCGGGCAUGCCUGUUCGAGCGUCAUUACAACCCUCAGGCCCCCGGGCCUGGCGUUGGGGAUCGGCGGAAGCCCCCUGCGGUCACAACGCCGUCCCCCAAAUACAGUGGCGGUCCCGCCGCAGCUUCCAUUGCGUAGUAGCUAACACCUCGCAACUGGAGAGCGGCGCGCCCACGCCGUAAAACACCCAACUUCUGAAUGUUGACCUCGAAUCAGGUAGGAAUACCC